This 440-nucleotide ribosomal RNA is filed under the name uncultured bacterium. Its description in RNAcentral is "partial 16S ribosomal RNA". It matches the Rfam family "Bacterial small subunit ribosomal RNA", at positions 338 to 795 of the family's 1533-position model. The record is from RNAcentral.
CCUACGGGAGGCAGCAGUGGGGGAUAUUGCACAAUGGGGGGAACCCUGAUGCAGCGACGCCGCGUGGGUGAAGGAGCGCCUCGGCGCGUAAAGCCCUGUCAGCAGGGAAGAAAGUGAAGGUAACCUAAGUAGAAACCCCCGCUAACUACGUGCCAGCCGCCGCGGUCAUACGUAGGGGGCAAGCGUUAUCCGGAUUUACUGGGUGUGAAGGGGGCGCAGACGGCGAUGCAAGGCAGGAGUGAAAGCCCGGGGCCCAACCCCGGGACUGCUCUUGGAACUGCGUGGCUGGAGUGCAGGAGGGGCAGGCGGAAUUCCUGGUGUAGCGGUGAAAUGCGUAGAUAUCAGGAGGAACACCGGGGGCGAAGGCGGCCUGCUGGACUGCGACUGACGUUGAGGCCCGAAAGCGUGGGGAGCAAACAGGAUUAGAUACCCUUGUAGUC